This 253-nucleotide ribosomal RNA is filed under the name uncultured bacterium. RNAcentral describes it as "partial 16S ribosomal RNA". It matches the Rfam family "Bacterial small subunit ribosomal RNA", at positions 524 to 776 of the family's 1533-position model. The record is from RNAcentral.
UACGAAGGGGGCUAGCGUUGUUCGGAAUUACUGGGCGUAAAGCGCGCGCAGGCGGUUUUUCAAGUCAGUGGUGAAAGCCCGGGGCUCAACCCCGGAACUGCCUUUAAAACUGCAUCGCUUGAAUCCGGGAGAGGUGAGUGGAAUUCCGAGUGUAGAGGUGAAAUUCGUAGAUAUUCGGAAGAACACCAGUGGCGAAGGCGGCUCACUGGACCGGCAUUGACGCUGAGGUGCGAAAGCGUGGGGAGCAAACAGG